This 404-nucleotide ribosomal RNA is filed under the name uncultured bacterium. RNAcentral describes it as "bacterial SSU rRNA". It matches the Rfam family "Bacterial small subunit ribosomal RNA", at positions 355 to 776 of the family's 1533-position model. The record is from RNAcentral.
UGGGGGAUAUUGCACAAUGGGGGAAACCCUGAUGCAGCGACGCCGCGUGUGGGAAGACGGUCCUCUGGAUUGUAAACCACUGUCCCCAGGGACGAAGAUGACGGUACCUGGGGAGGAAGCUCCGGCUAACUACGUGCCAGCAGCCGCGGUAAUACGUAGGGAGCGAGCGUUGUCCGGAAUUACUGGGUGUAAAGGGAGCGUAGGCGGGAUGGCAAGUUGGGUGUCAAAUCUACCGGCUCAACCGGUAGCCGCACUCAAAACUGCCGUUCUUGAGUGAAGUAGAGGCAGGCGGAAUUCCUAGUGUAGCGGUGAAAUGCGUAGAUAUUAGGAGGAACACCAGUGGCGAAGGCGGCCUGCUGGGCUUUUACUGACGCUGAGGCUCGAAAGUGUGGGGAGCAAACAGG